Long non-coding RNA from Monodelphis domestica (gray short-tailed opossum), 809 nucleotides. RefSeq lists it as uncharacterized. The record is from RefSeq and is a predicted model, not a curated record. Lineage: Eukaryota; Metazoa; Chordata; Mammalia; Didelphimorphia; Didelphidae.
UUCUGUUAUUCCCAGCUCUGACCGCUGCUUUAGCAGAAAAUCAGCCCUUUCACGUUUUCAAAUGUUUGUAUUUUUUUUCCUGGACAGGCACAGUGUAUGUUGUCAAGGAUACAAGCACAAUUCCAAGCCAGAAUUAUAGGAGGGAGAGAGAAUCCAACAAAAAUAAGGAUCAGUUAUUAGAGCAGUUAGGGACUCCUCCUAUAAGUUUUAGCUAGAAUUGAAAACAGAGCCCAGGGUCAUCUUGUCCCAUUCAUGGAGGGGAAACAUGGGAGAGUGCCCAAAUUACCCCAACUUCGGCACUGAUAAGUUGCACAGCAAGACAUUUCCUCAGUGAAAAAAAUCAUCUCUAUGAACCUCAGUUUCUUUUUCUAAAAAAUGGGAUCGAGGAUACCUGCAUUAUAUUAUCUGUGAGGUCUGUUUGGGAAGAAAGUGCUCACUAAACUUUAAAGCACUAGAGAAAUGAGAAUGCCUAUUUUUGCCAUCCCUAGACUUAAAGAUGCUGUGUGGAAAGCCUCGUGACAUGUUGUAAUGGAAGUCACCCAUUUCAUAGCAUUUAAUGAGAAUGAGCCAAGGAGAGAAAAGAGAAGGCGACUUUCUUGUGACCUGUCAGAAAAGAGGAGGGAUACUAUAGAUGGCCAGAGAUGUACAAUGCCUUUUCCAAGAUCAUAUAGCUGAUGAGAAUGAGAGCCAUCACUGAGCAGAAUUUGAACACAGAUUCUUUUCACUCUGGAUCUCCUUCUAGGAACUUAAUCAGAGGAUUUUCACAUCAUGUAUUCUUCUAUUGUUAUAAUUAAACAAAUACUCCAGUG